AAAACGACUCUCGGCAACGGAUAUCUAGGCUUUCGCAUCGAUGAAGAACGUAGCAAAAUGCGAUACUUGGUGUGAAUUGCAGAAUCCCGUGAACCAUCGAGUUUUUGAACGCAAGUUGCGCCCGAAGCCAUUAGGCUGAGGGCACGUCUGCCUGGGCGUCUC
Molecule: ribosomal RNA, 162 nt
Filed under: Primula magellanica
Lineage: Eukaryota; Viridiplantae; Streptophyta; Magnoliopsida; Ericales; Primulaceae
Description: 5.8S ribosomal RNA
Rfam family: 5.8S ribosomal RNA
About the family: 5.8S ribosomal RNA (5.8S rRNA) is a component of the large subunit of the eukaryotic ribosome. It is transcribed by RNA polymerase I as part of the 45S precursor that also contains 18S and 28S rRNA.
Source: RNAcentral